RNAcentral lists this transfer RNA (73 nucleotides) under Bos taurus (domestic cattle). It matches the Rfam family "tRNA". From Rfam's summary of the family: Transfer RNA (tRNA) molecules are approximately 80 nucleotides in length. Their secondary structure includes four short double-helical elements and three loops (D, anti-codon, and T loops). Further hydrogen bonds mediate the characteristic L-shaped molecular structure. tRNAs have two regions of fundamental functional importance: the anti-codon, which is responsible for specific mRNA codon recognition, and the 3' end, to which the tRNAs corresponding amino acid is attached (by aminoacyl-tRNA synthetases). tRNAs cope with the degeneracy of the genetic code in two manners: having more than one tRNA (with a specific anti-codon) for a particular amino acid; and 'wobble' base-pairing, i.e. permitting non-standard base-pairing at the 3rd anti-codon position. RNAcentral also lists the same sequence under 5 other names. Lineage: Eukaryota; Metazoa; Chordata; Mammalia; Artiodactyla; Bovidae. The record is from Rfam by way of RNAcentral.
UCCCUGGUGGUCCAGUGGUUAAGACUCCACACUUCCACUGUAGAGGGCACAGGUUCUAUUCCCUGCUGGGGAA